AGUCAGACACGAGUAAACAUCGGACCUGCGUUUUCAGAACGGCGAGAACUGAGACAAACAGAAGCCUGCAAAUCCGAUGCUGACCUGGCGUUCUUGCUGUUGCACUCCUUGUCAGUUAAAGCCUUGGCUGCCACCAAGGGAAUUGAAGGGUCUAGGAUGUGUGUGGAGCAGUGGAGGGAGGGUAACAGACAGAGGGAAAUUGAGAUGAAGAGAAAGACAGAGAGGAAGAGUCACGGGUGGGUGAAUAAUGAGUGAUAUGGAGAUGAUGACAAACAACACAUCCACUAAAUGCAAAGAUGGGAAACUGAAGCUAUUUAUUCCUGAAUUUCCAUCAAGUGCACUCUUUUGAAGAUAUGAGAUUUCUGCGGGGCACUGACGAUAUUCAAAUCAACAGUUUCUAUGUGUGUUCCAUGAAAAAAAAAAAAAAAAA
Molecule: long non-coding RNA, 430 nt
Organism: Sander lucioperca (pikeperch)
Lineage: Eukaryota; Metazoa; Chordata; Actinopteri; Perciformes; Percidae
Exons: 3
Source: RefSeq, a predicted model, not a curated record